This 457-nucleotide unclassified non-coding RNA is filed under the name Aliinostoc alkaliphilum CENA513. RNAcentral describes it as "partial contains 16S ribosomal RNA, 16S-23S ribosomal RNA intergenic spacer, and 23S ribosomal RNA". The stretch from base 1 to 156 matches the Rfam family "Bacterial small subunit ribosomal RNA", at positions 1381 to 1533 of the family's 1533-position model. The record is from RNAcentral. Lineage: Bacteria; Bacillati; Cyanobacteriota; Cyanophyceae; Nostocales; Nodulariaceae.
UUGUACACACCGGCCCGUCACACCAUGGAAGCUGGUCACGCCCGAAGUCAUUACCUCAACUUUUAGGAGAGGGGGAUGCCUAAGGUAGGACUGGUGACUGGGGUGAAGUCGUAACAAGGUAGCCGUACCGGAAGGUGUGGCUGGAUCACCUCCUUUUUAGGGAGACCUAACCCAUUAGAGACUGAAUCUAAUUGUCGUAAUGAGGUCAUCCUAGGUCGUUCGAGAUUGGUGAAAACUUUCAAAGUAUUACUCUUCCGGUUUUAACAAAGGAAAAGCCAGCAACUAGCGAAAGUUAGACUGCUGGGUAAAUCCAGCCAGAACCUUGAAAACUGCAUAGAAACGCGAUAAUAGCAGGCAGACACAGACAUGAAAAUGAAAGUGAAUGCAGGUGAAACACCAAUGAAUUGUGGUCAAGCGAAUAAGGGCUAAUGGUGGAUACCUAGGCACACAGAGGCGA